GAAACACCCAAGAAUGAUCAAUAAAUACUAAAAACAAACAACAACAAAAAAAACAACUAUGCUGAGUAAAAGGAGCCAGACCCAAAAGACCAUCUAUGAUUCUACUUAUAUGAAAUCUUUAGAAAUGCAAAAGUAUAGCCAGCAUGGUGGUUCAUACCUGUAAUCCCAGCACCUUGGGAGGCCAAGGCGGGCGGAUUACUUGAGAUCAGGAGUUUGAGACCAGCCUGGCCAACACGGCAGAACCCAGUCUCUACUAAAAAUACAGCCAGGUGUGGUAGUGCACGCCUAUAAUCCCAGUUACUCUGGUGGCUAAGGCACAAGAAUCACUUGAACCCGGGAGGUGGAGGUUGCAGUGAGCCAAGAUGAUGCCACUGAACUCCAGCCUGGGUGGCAAAGGAAGACUGUCGAAAAAAAAAAAAAAGAAAAAGAAAAAGAAAAAGAAAAGAAGGAAGGGAGGGAGGGAGGGAAAGAAGAAAGAAGGAAGGAAGGAAAGAAGGAAGGAAGGAAAAGAAAAGAAAAGAAGAGAAAGGAAGGAAGGAAGAAAAGGCAAAACUAUAGAAUCAGAGAACAGAUUAGUGGCUGCUGGGGCCUGGGGUAGGAGAGGAGACUGACUAUAAACAGGCAGGAGGGAACUUUGUCAGUCGACAGUCAUGUUCUGUAGCUAGAUUGGGAUGAAGUUUGCUGUUAAAAAUGCACUAAAACUCACCAAACUACACUUAAGAUGGGUAGAUUUUGUGGUAUAUAAGUUAUACUUCAAAAAACUAUAAAUAAGAAAGUUAACUGGAACAUCCUGUGCUUUCCAAAUCAAGACACCUUUCAGAGGAUACAUUCAUAGCCUUUGCCCCGGGUAAGUGCUUUCAAAUAUAAUACUCUAGUCCCAGUAUAAAUUCAAUAUACCUGUUUCUAAACACAGAGUAUUAAGCGAUACUGAGAGAAAUGGCAGAUAUAUUAGCAUAUGAAUCUAAAUGUAUUAUUGAAAGAGUGGUUUUAAGAGAAGUGUAGACAGCAGCCUACUCUAAUGAAAAUAAAUGUCAAUGAAAAUAAGCUACAUUUGUCAUUUUCAUGAAAAAAUUAUUUCUAUCAUCAUCUGCAAAUCAAUUUCCUUAAUAAGGGUUCGUGACAAUUUUCAGGAUUUCUUGAAAUGAUUUUUAUGAUAUAUUAAGACUCAUUUCUACAUAACCUUGAUUUCAAAUCAAAAUUGCUUUUAACUUCACAUUCACAGGUAUGUGAGCUAUUAAACCUAAGUCAGGCAGAGAGGAUCAGUUUCAUCAAGCGUCUCAGAUGAGAGCGUUCACACCCUUCUCUUCUUCACGUGCCACACUGCCUCCUCUUUGUCUCCACUUCACCGGGCAUGCUGAGGAUUAUGAACACUUUUCAAAGUCAACGCUACUGACUUCUAUCUUCCUAAGCAAAAAUAAGCCACCAAAAGUAGAGAUUUAUAAAAGAAAGCAAGCUCAGACUUAGUUUCUGAGAAGUCCAUUUCCUCACACAGAGGAGUCUGGGUCUCUGCCUGUUGGAGGAGGUGGCUGUCUGUGUGCUCUGAUGGAAAUUCUGCCAGUUUCCUUCAGCAGUUAACACCCUCAGCUUCAGGGCCGAAACAUGCUCCAGGUUGUCCUUUGGCUGAAAGCCCGCUAAAAUGGCAAUAAUUCCCUCUGACCACAACAGCCUUGCGUGUGGUGCUUUCUCUUAAUUAUUCCUCCUGCCCCUGGUCCUUCAGCUCCACAUUAUUCCCACUCUCCAAAAAUUCUAUUCUUCACUUCCUUCUCUUUCCAGCUUAGGUCCCAUGGGCCACCCUUCAUUUUUCUGACCAGCCCUCUCAACUCCUUUUCCUCCUUCUUUUUACACCAUACAUUCUUGUCUAGGGAAAGACCCCAAUUCAGAACAGUUUUGCCUAUAAGGACAUGAAGCCCAAAUUUCCCAUGUGACAGACCCACGUGGGGGAAAAUGAUAAAGUAAAAAGAGGAUAGGCUGUUGAGUCAGAGCCUAGCUUAAAUCCUGGUGCUGUCACCUACAAGCUGUGUUGCAUUGGUUAUGUUCAACAAGCUCUGUGUGCCUUAGUUUCCUCACCUGUAAAACGGGGCUAAUUUACCUACCUCCGGGGCUGUUGAGAUAAAUAUGGAAUGAGCAUAGCGAUGUGGCAGGAGCUUAGUGGACCCUUAGUAAAUGGUGACAAAAGCCUAACAAACAAGCACUCUGAUGUCCAUGUUCACUGUUGUUCUCUCGACCCAGUCUGCUUUCUCCACUUUCUACUUGGUUCCUAUCCUCCUUGUGGCCUGGAUAACACCUACUUAUUCCUGGAGACUCCACUAAAAUGUCAACCAUUAGAACUGCACUGUCAAAAACAGCAGCCAUUAGUCAAAUGUGGCUACUUACAUUCAAAUUAAGAUUAAUGAAUAUUAAAAAUCCAGUUCCUCAGUCACACUGUCCACAAUUUGAGUGCCCAACAGCCACAUGGGGCUGGCUAGUGGCUACUGUGUUGGGACAACACAGCGUGGAACAUUUUCAUCAUCACAGAAAAUUCUAUUGGACAGAGUUUCUCUAGAGGAAAAUGUCUUUGUUAACCCUCUCCUAAAGAACUCGUGUACUUUUAUAAGCAUACUCAUCACUUCCUAAAAUGAGUGUUGAUUCUUUUACUCCAUAAAUUGUGAACUUCUUGAAGUACCACUUAAAUCCAUACAAAUUUGCUAAAUGAACUGUUGAAUAAUUGGUUAACAAGCCUUUUUAAAAAUCAAAGUCAAGUAACAACAGGUGCUGGUGAGGCUGUGGAGAAACAGGAACGCUCUGACACUAUUGAUGGGAAUGUAAAUUAGUUCAACCAUUGUGCAAGACAGUGUGGUGGUUCCUCAAAGACCUAGAACCAGAAAUACCAUUUGACCCAGCAAUCCCAUUAUUGGGUAUAUACCUGAAGAAAUAGAAAUCAUUCUAUUAUAAAGAUACAUGCAUGUGUAUGUUUGUUGCAGCACUAUUCACAAUAGCAAGGAGAUGGAAUCAACCCAAAUGUCCAUCAGUGAUAGAUCGGAUAAAGAAAAUGUGGUACAUAUAGACAAUGGAAUACUAUGCAGCCAUAAAAAGGAAUGAGAUAAUGUCCUUUGCAGGGACAUGGAUGGAGCUGGAAGCCAUUAUCCUCAGUAAACUACUGCAGGAACAGAAAACCAAACACCACAUGUUCUCACUUAUAAGUGGGAGCUGAACAAUGAGAACACAUGGACACAGGGAGAGGAACAACACACACUGGGGCCUGUCGGCGGGUGGAGGGAGAGAGAGCAUCAGGAUGAAUAGCUAUUGCAUGCAGGGCUUAAUACCAAGGUGUUGGGUUGAUAAGUGCAGCAAACCACCAUGGCACACACUUACCUAUGUAACAAACCUGCACAUCCUUCACAUGUACCGCAGAACUUAAAAUAAAAUUUGAAUUUUUAAAAAAGCUUUUUGAAAAAUAAACCUCUUAAUUGUCUGGAGGCUCAGACAAUUUCCAUGAGGAAGAGUGCCUGAUAUCUUUGCUUUCAGAACCUGGUCCUGAGAGAUUUUGUCUAGUUUUGCUUCCUAUUCCGUUUCUCAAACCAUUUCUAAUCCUUAACCCAUUCAGGCAAGCGGAGCCCUCCACCACGUGGCCAGAAUUUCCUGACGUCCAAGAAAGGGCAUUAAACAAUAUGGCUUCUGAGAAAACAUCUAAUAUCAGAGAUGAAAAAACUGAGGCUUGAAGAGUAGCAGUGUCUUGUCAAGGCCCAUAUAGAAAGUAAGAGGCCAAGCCACUGAAAGAAGGUUGUCUGCUUAGAAGGCACUCUUUCCAUUAUACCAGGUGACGAGAAAACACACCCAGAUAAAGACUAUAUGGCGAAUGAACUUAGAAGCGCUAGCAAUUCUGGCUCCUUUCACCAGAACAAGCUGCAAUCUGCAAUAAACAGGAAGAGGCUUCAUAUGUGAGGUAAAAGCCUCUCUUACUCCCUCUCUGCCAAGGACGAUUGCCAAUGCAGUUUUGAUAAGUAAAUAAAGAAUUACUGGAUGGCCAAGAACUACCACCCUAAGCAUAUCCAGCAGUCAGCCCAUGCUAUUCAAUUGUGCUACAACUACCUUUAAAAAGAAUGACUGAACUCACAGAAUGGUAAGAGUUGGAAUGGAGACCUCCCACUGGACAGCAAUGAAAGAUGAAACCCUAAAUAUAUCUGAAGUGAAUUUUUUCAUUGAACUGUCUCAAAAAUCAUGAUGAGAUUAACCUAGAACUCUCAUAUUUAGUUUCUUUGGUGCUACUGAAAAUAGUUUGACCGUUGUCCAUUUUUAACUGGACUGGGGGAAAUAACAAUGUCAUUGUAUUUUACAUAAUGAAAUAAAGGAUCUGGCAACACAGCGCAGCUGUUAUAAAGAAGACACAAAUGCCACCUUAAUAUGAUUUCUUAAAUAUAUAAUAAGCUGGGUUUUAGUCUGGGUCUGUAUGCUCACUAAUAUCAAGUAAAAAAAAUGAAUUAUCUUCUGCAUGAAGACAGGGAAGGUAGACAGGGAGGCAAUGGUCUUUUAUGCUAAAAGCUCUUAAAAGUCAGGAAGGUAUUCAAUAUUUAAAAAUUAAAUGAUGAAAAACCUGUUCUGAAGUCCCAACAGUUUUUAGAUAUGGGUUCCUUUUGUAAAGGAAAUAAUCUGCUGUCUGCUCUUUGGUAUAACACAAUAAAUAUGAUAAUUACUUCAUAUAACAGCUUAAAUUAAAUUGCUUUUGAAUGA
Molecule: long non-coding RNA, 4707 nt
Filed under: Homo sapiens (human)
Lineage: Eukaryota; Metazoa; Chordata; Mammalia; Primates; Hominidae
Description: HSALNT0127184
Source: RNAcentral